RNAcentral lists this ribosomal RNA (528 nucleotides) under uncultured bacterium. RNAcentral's name for it is "bacterial SSU rRNA". It matches the Rfam family "Bacterial small subunit ribosomal RNA", at positions 8 to 525 of the family's 1533-position model. The record is from RNAcentral.
AGGGUUCGAUUCUGGCUCAGAUUGAACGCUGGCGGCAUGCCUAAUACAUGCAAGUCGAACGGAAACGAUGGAAGCUUGCUUCCAGGCGUCGAGUGGCGGACGGGUGAGUAAUACUUAGGAAUCUGCCUAUUAGUGGGGGACAACUCGAGGAAACUCGAGCUAAUACCGCAUACGCCCCAAGGGGGAAAGCGGGGGAUCUUUCGGGACCUCGCGCUAAUAGAUGAGCCUAAGCCGGAUUAGCUUGUUGGUGGGGUAAAGGCCUACCAAGGCGACGAUCCGUAGCUGGUCUGAGAGGACGAUCAGCCACACUGGGACUGAGACACGGCCCAGACUCCUACGGGAGGCAGCAGUAGGGAAUAUUGCACAAUGGGCGAAAGCCUGAUGCAGCAAUGCCGCGUGUGUGAAGAAGGCCUUAGGGUUGUAAAGCACUUUCAAUAGUGAAGAAAAGCACAAGGAUAAUACCCUUGUGUCAUGACGUUAACUAUACAAGAAGCACCGGCUAACUCCGUGCCAGCCGCCGCGGUAAUA